UUUUUGAUACUAUAGUAAAUAUUUUAUUUCAAUUUCCAGGUGGUUAUUGCUAGUAUGCAGAAAAUAUUUUUUUGCAUUAACCUAUGCUAAAGUCACUUACUAUUUUGAUUUGCCUUUCAUAAAGAUUCCUUAAACGUUUCUACAUACACAAUCAUGUCAUCUGCAGAUAGACAGUUUUAUUUCUUCUUUUCAAUCUGUAUGGUUUUCUUUGCCUUUUUCUUGCCUAUUGUACUGGCCAGGACUUCCAGUGUAAUGUUUAAUAGAAAUCCUGAGACUGGACAUCCUUGCCUUAUUUUCAAUCUGAGGAGAAAGCAUUCAGUUGUUCAUCAUUAACAGACAAUGUUAGCUGAAGGUUUUUCAGAGCUUGUGUACUCUACCAGGAUGAAGAAGGUCCCUUCUAUUUCCAGUUUGCUAAGAGUUUUAAAAUUGUGAAUGGAUGGCGAAUUUUGUUAUUUUUCUGCAUCUAAUAAGAGAAUCAUAUAUGGUUUUUCUCCUUUGUUCUGUUAAGAUGGUAGGUAUGUUGAUUUUUUUAGUGUUAAACCAAGCUUGCAUUCUUGGGAUAAACCCCACUUAGUCAUGAUGCAUUAUCCUUGUUAUAUAUUGCUGAAUUCAAUUUGCCAAAAAUUUAACUAAGGAUGUUUGCAUCUGUAUUCAGUGAGGUAUACUGUAUUCAGUGAGGUAUUCCUUUCAAUGUCAUUGUCUGGGCUCAGACAAUGACUAGAAAAGUCAUCUUUCUUUAUUUUUAGAAUGAGUUUGUGGGUGUUUGUUAUUAUUUUUUCCUUAAAUAUUUGAUAGAAUUUACUGCUGAAGCCACCUCAGUCUGAAGUUUCUUUGCAGGAAGUUUUAAUUCAUAAUUAAAUUUCCUUAGCAUAUAUAGGGCUUUUUUCUUUUUUCUUUUUUUGAGACAGAGUGUCACAGUGUCUCCCGGGCUGGAGUGCAAUGGUGCGAUCUCAGCUCACUGCAGCCUUUGCCUCCCGGGUUCAAGCAAUUCUCCUGCGUCAACCUCCCAAGUAGCUGGGAUUACAGGCGCCUACCACCAUGCCCAGCUAAUUUUUUGUAUUUUCAGUAGAGACAGGCUGGUCCCAAACUCCUGAGAUGAGGAUAAUUUUUUGUAUUUUUAGUAGAGACGGGGUUUCACUAUGUUGGCCAGGCUGGUCUCAAACUCCUGACCUCGUAAUUCACCCACCUCGGCCUCCCAACGUGCUGGGAUUACAAGUGUGAGCCACCGUGCCUGGCCUUCUUUCUAUAGUUUCUUGAAUCACUAUGGUUAAUCUGUGGCAUUCAACCGAUUUGUCCAUUUUAUCUAUGCCAUUAAAUUUAUUUACAUAAUUAUAAUCUUUUUUUGUUUUAAUGUCUGCAAGAUCUGUGGUGAUAUCUAUUUCAUUCCUAAUGUUGGUAAUUUUUUCUUUUCCUGCUUGCUCUUAUUGUUUGUUUGUUUGUUUGUUUGUUUGUUUGUUUUGAGACAGGUUCUCAUUCUGUCACCCAGAUCAGGCUGGAAUACAGUAGCGAUCAUAACUCACUCAGCCCCAAACUCCUGGUCUCAGGCAGUCCUCCUGCCUCAGCCUUUCAAAUUGUUGGGAUUACAGGCAUGAGCCACUGUGUUCAGCCUCUUUUAAUUCCUAUAUGUAUUAGCCAGUUGAGGUGGCUUGCUUGAACCCAAGAGUUCUGGGCAACACAGCAAGACCUCAUCUCUACAAAUAAUUUUAAAAAUUAGCUGGGGCAUGGUGGCGCACACCUGUGGUCUCAGCUACUUGAGAGGCUGAGACAGGUGGAUCACUUGAGCCCAGGCAGUCAAGGCUUCGGUGAGCCGUGAUCCCGCCACUGCACUCCGGCCCAGGUGACACUGUGAGACUCUGUCUCAAAAAAAUAAACUAUAGAAAAUCUGAGUAGCCCUAUAUAUAGUAAGGAAAUUUAAUUAUCAAUUAAAUUGUCACCUGGGUAACAGAGUGAGACCACGUCUCAAGGGAAGGGGAGGGGAGGGGAGGGUCUUGUAUUUAUUAUUUCCUUCCUUUUACUUUGUUUUACUUUGGUUUAAUUUGGUUUACAUUGGUUUAAUUUGUUCUUCUUUUACUAUUUUUUUUCUACUGAAUCAUCAUUAUUGUUCUACCACUCAAAUCACUGCAUUGCUGUUGCUAAAUGACCAAUAGACCAACAGAUCCUUGCAUAGAAACAAAAAAAAAGCCCUUGCUUUUCAAUAUUACCAAAGGGAAAUGUAUAGUCAGAACUGCAAGAAAACUGCCUUGUGAUCCGGCUUCUGUCACAUUUUAGUUUACAAUACAGGAGCAUAAAGUAGCUACUCAACUACCUCAAAAAUAAGAGAAUCAUUUACCUUUCUGUAUAUAACCUAAUUAAAACCAUGUCAGAUCCAGCAAAACUGAUUUUCAUCUCUCCUCAGUAGAUAUAGGAGUAUAUAUUGAUAUUUCUACUUCAUGACUAGAUAGGGGACUAAAUUAAAAUUCGCUACUCAGUUCUCAGUUGUAAGGCCCACAGUUGCACAUGGGUAGGUGGGUAGUUGCACAUGCACAGAGUUGGUGGUCACAACUCUGCUUUCUUGCCCUUCUGCUUAAAAUGGAGCUAUUUAAUCUUAUUUAUUUAUUUAUUUAGAAAUAGGGUCUGCUCUGUCACCUUGGCUGGAGUGCAGUGGCACAAUCAUGGCUCACUGCAGCCUAGAACUCCUGGGCUCAAGUGAUGUUCCCACCUUAGCCUCCUGAGUAGCUGGGACUAUAGACACACACAACCACGUUCUGCCAAUUUUGAAAUUUUUUGUAGAAAUGAGGUCUCCUUAUGUUGCCCAGGCUGGUCUUGAACUGCUGGCCUCAAACAGUCCUCCCACCUCAGCCUCCCACGUGCUAGGAUUACAGGCAAGAGCCACAGCGCCAGGCUGGAACUAUGUAAGACAGCACUUAGCCCUGCAUGUAUGUGUUACUAACAAUGGUUGUGUAGAUCACUCCUCCAAAGGGAAAGUCUCUCUAGAUGGGUUUUUGCCCCAGUUAAGCAAUAGCUUCCUCCAAACGGUGCUCACCUAUCCAUUGACUGCGAUAUUUGAAGACAAAGUGAGUCUUCACUCACCAUCACCAUUCCCCAUGUCCCCUUUCCCUGGGAGCGCACACACAUAGGAGGGCAGUGCUGCUUCCUCCACAGCAGUGACAGCCGGCCAGGAUUUAUGAAAUGUCUCUCAAGGAAAUGUGCUCUCUUCCAUGCUCAGAGACGCCACGUGGUCACAGUGCAGUCUUCAUGCAGUUGUAGCUUAGACUUCCAGAUUCAAAGGUCAGAAACCAGCUUGGAAUUUUCCUGAUCCUAACUCAAACCUGGCAUAAGUCAAAGUUUAAAUCCAACAGGUUCCAAAGGAAAUCAGAUUAAACACAUGUGCUGCUUGGUCAUGCAAGGACCCUGGAGUAGAAAAGUAGGUAUUGCCGUCUUGGUCAUGAAAGCUACAACAUCACCUGCAAGAGGACAGGCACUUAGAUCUGUUCACUGCUGUGCCCUCAACUCCUGGAAUAGGACCUGGUGCAGAGUGUGAUCAGAAAGUAUUUAUUGAGUGUCAGGUACAGUGGCUCAUGCCUGUAAUCCUAACACAUUGGAAGACCAAGGUGGGAGGAUCACUUGAGCCCAGGAGUUUGAGACCAGCCUGGGUGACACAGGGAGACCCUAUCUCUAUAAAAAAUAAACUUAAAAAAAAAAUUGGGCCGGGCACAAUGGCUCACGCCUGUAAUCCCAGCUCUUUGGGAAACUGAAGCGGAUGGAUCAUCUGAGGUGAGGAGUUCGAGACCAGCCUGGCCAACAUGGUGAAACCCCCAUCUCUACUAAAAAUACAAAAAUUAGCCGGGCAUGGUGGCGGGCACCUGUAAUCCCAGCUACUCGGGAGGCUGAGGCAGGAGAAUCACUUGAACCCAGGAGGUGGAGGUUGCAGUGAGGCGAGAUUGCACCACUGCACUCCAGCCUGGGCAACAGAGUGAGACUUGGUCUACACACUUUGUAAUCUAAAACAUUCUCUACCAAUACCUCAAUCAGUGAAUUCUUGCUUUAUUGAUACAUUCUAGUAUUCAGUUGUGAUUUUAAUAUGCUAUUUUGGUACUUUCUGCUUUCAGUUUUCAUUGCUGUGGCUAUUGCCUUAAACAGAAACAAAAAACUAAAACAAUUUUACAACCAUCCAAAAGAGGCUUGGAAACUUUUUUUUGGCUGGAUAUCCAUAGCACAAUUUAAUUCAGUAAACAUAAACAGUUAAAAUUAUUCCAGUACACAGCCAUGUUUUAAAAAAGAGAUUACACCCAAUUUUGGCAACAACACUCAGGAAAUAAGCAUUCUUUUACAUUUGGUUCAAACUUUCUGAAUGGCAGUUGUGCAACACUUGUUGUGAAAAACUUUAGAAUAUUAUAAACAUGUUAAUCCCGUAUUUCCAUUUCUGUGAAUUCAUCCAAAAGAAAUAACCAUGGAUAUGGGUAGAGACAGAGCCAUAUGGAAUGCACACCGCAGUGGUGAACACAUGGCCCAGCUCUGCCAUCAAGGAGAAGUUUUCUAUGAUGAAUGUUUCAUAAUCAGAAAACAAAAUUAAAUGUUUCCAGCCCCACAAAAAAUAACCAGUUUUUUACUUUUUUUUUUUUUCCGAGAUGAAGUCUCACUUUAUCUCCCAGGCUGGAGUGCAGUGGUGCAAUCACGACUCACUGCAACCUCCGCCUCCCAGGCUGAAGUGAUCCUCCCACCUCAGCCUCCUGAGUAGCUGAAACUGCAGGAAUGCACCACCAUGCCAGGCUAGUUUUUUUAUCUUUUUUGGUAGAGACGGUGUUUCAACAUGUUGCCCAGGCUGGUCUCAAACUCCUGGACUCAAGCAGUUCACCUGCCUCAGCCUCCCAAAGUGUUGGGAUUACAGGCAUGAGCCACUGUGCCCAGCCAUUUACUUUUAAUCUUAGUAAUUUAUACAGAACCAGUUGUCUGGUGUUGUGGUCUCUCCCUACUCUGAGUCGACUGGAUUGUGUAGAUUGGGCUUGGGCACAGUGGGUGGAGCCCAGAGCAAGGUGAACCACCUGGAGGCUCCCGUGCCUCAAUCCUGCAGCAGGCACAGGCACGGGACUUUGUUGACAGUGAAAAAGUGCUUGUUGCAGACAGCCUGAAACAGACGCAAACUCGGGGAAGUGACAGUUACAUGCGCAAAGAGACCUGAAGGAAUCUGUAAGUAUCACCAGCUAACAAGCGACACAGCUCUACCUGUACAUCCUACUUCAGUGCCUUAAUAUAAAGAAAACAAAUACUUCACAAUCAAAUAAUUUGCUGCAAUGUAAAGAAAUUUGUGAAAAUGGUAUAUACUAUGUGGAAUCUGUAUGUCCCCAGAGAUGAGACUGGAAAGACAGUUAUCAUGAAACCAGUCUUUGGCCUUUGGCGGUUUCCAGUUUUUCCGCACUUUCAAACACAAGUCCACGUGAGCCAGCCGCAGCAUUUCAGGAUCAUGUGAAAGGGAUCAUCAUCCCUGGACUCUAGGAAAUUGAGGUGUGGGAAAGGUGAAGGAACUGGCCCUAGGGUGUUGUAUGCAAGUUGGAAGCAAAGAGACAGCUAAGACCACAUCUCCUGAUUCCCAGUCCAAGGCACUUUUAAUGACCUACAAUGCCUGGAAGGAAAGGUGGUAAGAAAUGAUAGGAAAAAGCCUAAGAGCUAAGCUAAAGGAAAGAGGCUGGGAGCACUGACUCAUGCCUGUAAUCCUGGCAUUUUAGGAGGCAAGGCAGGAGGACGGCUUGAGCCUAGGAGUUUGAGGCUACAGAGAGCCAUGAUCGCACCACUGAACUCCAGCAUGGGCAACAGAACAAGACCCCAACUCUUAAAAAAAAAAAGUAAAAAGGAAUACUCUAUUGGGAUAAUGAUAAGGGUAAUUUUCCCAUUUCCUCAGCAUAGUGCCCUCUGAAGAUGUGUUCUACAAGAUGGGGGGCAGAGGCACAUACCCCAGGAUGAGAUGGCUUACUAGGAGGUAAAAUAAAAUCUUCUAUGGUUCAUUUUGUCGCAAAACAGGGAGAAUGGCUUGGUACCCUCACAUUGUACUACAUUAGACAGCCCAUGGAUCAGCAAUGAUCCAUGUGGUGCCCUGAAUUGGGUGUGAGGGCACCAUAGUGAGAAGGAUGUAGGGCCCACAUGCAUUAGUUUGCACAGACAGGGGUUUACAAGUACCUAAUUAACAUGAUUUUUUUUUUUUUUUAGUGAGACAGUCUCUCACUCUGUUGCCCAGGCUGGAGUGCAGUGGCGCAAUCUCGGCUCACUGCAAGCUCCGCCUCCUGGGUUCAAGCGAUUCUCCUGCCUCAGCAUCCCAAGUAGCUGGGACUACAGGCGCCCACCACCACACCCGGCUAAUUUUGUUUUUGUAUUUUUAGUAGAGACAGGGUUUCACCGUGUUAGCUAGGACGGUCUUGAUCUCCUGACCUCGUGAUCUGCCUGCCUCAGCGUCCCAAAGGGCUGGGAUUACAGGUGUGAGCCACCGCGACCAGCCAAUAUGAAUUAUCUUACAUAGCUUUACUAAACCCUUAGUCAAGUGCAAGGUAAACGUAAUGGCAAUAUAAUUGAUUCUAACAAGAAGGAACCAAACAAAAAAAUUUUUUUUAGAUAGAGUCUUGCUCUGUUGCCCAGGCUGGAGUGCAGUGGCAUAAUCACAGCUUACUGUGGCCACAAACUCCUGAGUUCAAGCCAUCGUCCCACCUCAACCUCUCAAGUAGCUGGGACCACAGGCACACACUACUACGCUUGGCUAAUUUUUAAAUUUUUUGUAGAGAGGGGGUGUCCCUACCUUGCCCAGGCUGGUUUUGAACUCCUGUGCUUAAGCAGUCCUCCCACCUUAACCUCCCAAAGUGUUGGGAUUACAGGCAUGAGCCACCACACUCAGCCAAAAACUUUUUUUGGGGGGGGGUAGGGGGGACGGGGUCUCCCUCUGUUGCCCAGACUGGAGUGCAGUGGCACAAUCUUGGAUCACUGCAGCCUCAAACUCCCUGAGCUCAAAUGAUCCUCUCACCUCAGCCUCCCAAGUAGCUGGGACUAAAGGCACAUGCCACUAUGCCUGGCUAAUUUUUGUAUUUUUUGUAGAGAUAGGGUCUGGCCAUUUUGCCCACACUGGUCUUGAACUCCUGGGCUCAGGUGAUCCACCCGCCUCAGCCUCCCAAAGUGCUAGGAUUACAGGCAUGGGCCACUGCGCUCAACCAAAAAUAAUUUUUUAAUUAUCAAGAACAUUUGAAAUAUAAAAUUAUAUCCUGUACUUUUUUGUUGUUGUUAAUUGAGACAGGGUCUUGCUCUGUGGCCCAGGCUGGAGUGCAGUGGUACAAUCAUAGCUCACUGCAGCCUCGAACUCCUGGGCUCCAAGGAUCCUCCUGCCUCAGCCUCUCAAGUAGCUGGGACUACAGGAAUGCACCACCAUGUCUAGCUAACUUUAAUUAUUUUGCUUUUGUAGAGACAGGAUCUGGCUAUGUUGACCAGCCUGGUUUCCAACUCCUGGCCUCAAGCAGUCCUCCUGCCUCAGCCUCCGAAAGUGUUGGGAUGAUAGGCAUGAGUCACUGUGCCUUCCAAUCCUCUUUUGUUUUGUUUUGUUUUGUUUUGUUGAGACAGGGUUUCACCAUGUUGCCCAGGCUGGUCUCGAACUCCUGGACUCAAGCAAUCCUCCCACCUCGGCCUCCCAAAGUACUAAGAUUACAGGCGUGAGCCACCAUUCCUAGCCAAUCCUCUGUUUUUAAUAGUGAACUCGCCCUGGUGAAUAAUAUAACUUAAGAUGUUAGCUAAUCAUAGUAGUGUGUUUGUAUAAUUUAAAACUAUACAUAUAUUAAGACUGCUCAAAAAGUAAUCACACUACAAAGGCUAAGCAAUCAAAAAAGCUUGGAGAAGACACACAAAUGACCAACAGUUGUAUGAAAAAUGCUCAGCAUCACUCAUCAUCAGCAAAAUGCAAAGCAAAACUACAGUGAGAUAUUGCACCCCAGUUACAAUGGCUAUUGUCAAAAAGACAAAAAAUAACAAAUCUUGGUGAGGAUACAGGGAAAGGGGAUAUACACUGUUGGUGAGAAUGUGAGUUAAUACAGCCAUGGAAAACCAUAUGAAAGUUCCUCAAAAAACUACAAAUCAAAACUACCUUUGAUCUAGCAAGCCCACUGCUAGUAUAUAUCCAAAAGAAAGAAGCAUAUCAAAGAGGUACUGUACUUAUAUGUUUAUUGGAGCACAAUUCACAACAGCCAAAAUAUCAACCCCAGUGCCUAUCAGCAAAUGAAUGGAUAAAGAAAAUAUGGUACAUAUACAUGAUGGACUAUUAUUCAGCCAUAAAAGAUGAAAUCCUGUCAUUUGCAGCAACAUGAGUUGACCUGGAGGACAUUAUGUGAAAUGAAAUAAGCCAGGCACAGAAAGACAAAUACCACGUGAUCUCUCUAAUAUGUGGGAAACUUAAAACAGUUGAUCUCAUGGAGUUAGAGAAAAGAAUGGUGGUUCCCAGCUGGGUGCAGUGGCUCGUGCCUGUAAUCCCAGCACUUUGGGAGGCUAAGGCGGGCGGAUCAGAAGGUCAGGAGAUCGAGACCAUCCUGGCUAACAUGGUGAAACCCUGCCUCUACUAAAAAUACAAAAAAUUAGCUGGGCGUGGUGGCGGGCGUCUGCAGUCCCAGCUACUCGGAAGGCUGAGGCAGGAGAAUGGCGUGAACCCGGGAGGUGGAGCUUGCAGUGAGUGGAGAUUGCACCACUGCACUCCAGCCUGGGCGACAGAGCGAGACUCUGUCUCAAAAAAAAAAAAAAAGAAUGGUGGUUCCCAGAAGCUAAGGAAGGGUAGAGGAAAGGAAAGGGAGGAUGAGGAGAGGUUAAUGGGUAUAAAAAUACAGUUAGAAUAAGUUCUAGCGUUUGCUAGUACAGUAGGAUGACUAUAGUUAAUAGUAGUUUACUGUAUAUUUCAAAAUAGCUAGAAGAUUUGAAAUGUGCCUAGCACAAAGAAAUGAUAAGUGUUUGAGGGGAUGGAUAUCCUAAUACUCUGAUUUAAUCGUUACACAUUAUAUGCAUCUAUCUAAAUAUCACGUGUGGCCUGUUAGCUUGGUUGGUUAGAGCAUGGUGCUGAUAACACUAAGGUCACAAGUUCAAUCCCCAUACAGACAAGUUCAAUCCCCAUACAGGCCAUGGGAUGAAACAUUUGGGGCUUCAUUUACCCGAAUGAAGAGCUUUUAAUUCAAGUGGUCCAAAUCACCCCUGCACUGAAUCCAAAAUUCAGACGUUCUCUUAUUGGCCAGACACUGUGGUUCACUCCUGUAAUUUCAGCACUUUGGGAGGCCGAGGCAGGCAGAUCACCUGAGGUCAGGAGUGUGAGACCAGCCUGGCCAACAUGGUGAAACCCUGUCUCUACUAAAAAUACAAAAAUUAGCUGGUAGAGAUCACACCAUUACACUCCAGCCUGGGCAACAGAGCGAAACUCUGUCUCUAAAUAAAUAAAUAAAUAACACAUGUACUCCAGAAAUAUGUAUAACUAUCAUGUAUCAAUAAAAAAUUAGUUUUUAACAAAGACUUGGAGGCUGGGCACAGUGGCUCAUGCCUGCAAUCUCAUCACUUUGGGAGGCUGAGACAGGAGAAUCGCUUGAGCCGAGGAGUUCGAGACCAGCCUAAGCAACAUAGUGAGACCUCAUCUCUACAGAAAAUUCAAAAAUUAGCUGGGUAUGGUGGUGUGUGCCUGCAGUCCCAGCUACUUGGGAGAGUGAGGCAGAAGUAUCUUGAGCCCAGGAGUUCGAGGCUGCAGAGAGCUUUGAUGGUGCCACUGCACUUCAGCCUGGGUGACACCCAGAUUCUGUCUCUGAAAAAGAAAAACAAAAAACCCACUGCUCUUCCUCUCCACCUGUCAUCCACAAGCCUCCCAGGUAGAUUCUCCAUCACCCAGAGGCAGGUGGGGAAUUCCUCCACCCUCACAGUCCACUGAGUCCGAGUGUGCUUCCUCACAGGACCUGAGUGAUUGCUGACCUAUCUCAUGUGGAGGGCCAUUCUUCCUUGAGACACUGUUUCUGUUUUCCUGAUUUUCCUGUAACCAUCCAAACCAAUCACUCUUUUUCCCUUUGUGGCCACUUUUCCUUACUUUAGCCGUGAGCCACUGCCUUGCAGAUGUAGCCUUUCCCUCUGCAUGGCUGAUUCUCAAAUCUUUGUCUCCAGGCUUGGACUCCCCCAUAUACCCCAGUCUCUGUCUGUCCAAAUGUUUACAAGAUUCCCACACGUUCCCCUAAGCUUAAUGUGUGUUAAACAACACCUCCUUUCCCACCCACCUUCCCUGUUUUCCUGGCCUGGUUGAAGAUCACUAUUUUCAGGACUGCUGAGGCAAGGACUCUGAGAUCACUCUCACCCUCCCUCUCUAAUUGACCAUCGUCAUCCAAGCUGUCACAGACACCUGUCAAUAUUGCCUUCCAGGGGUCCCCUAGACUUCACCGUUUCCUUUUUGUUCUUUUUGCCCCUACUCUGAGCCCUUGCCAGGUCACAUCCGCAUGGCUGCUACUUCCUUUCGUCUGGCUGCCUUCUCUCAAGCUGAAAUGAGCUCUUAUCUGCCGGUAGCCCAUUAGUCUCACAUUAUAUAUGUCACUCAGGCUCCCCCACAGAUGCCCUGUUCCCACUAGAAUAUUGGCUUCAUUGGGUCCCUGCCCUCCACACCUCUUCCAGGCUCCCUCUCUGUCCAGACUCUCACACCUCACACAUCCUCUUCCCUCCUCCCCAUGGGCUCGCUCCGUCACGCAGGCUGGAGUGCAGUGACACGAUCGUAGCUCACUGCAGCCUCAAACUCUCAGGCUCAAGUGAUCCUCCCACCUCAGCCUCCCAAGUAGCCAGGACUACAGGUGCACAUUACCAUGCCCAGCUAUUUUUAACUUUUUAGUUGAGAUGGAGUCUCACUGUGUUGCUCAAGCUGGUCUUGAACUCCUGGGCUCAGGCGAUCCUCCCACUUUGGCCUCCCAAAGUGCUGGGAUCACAGGCAUGCAUGAGCCACCGUGCCCAGCCUCCCACCUCCUCCUCUUUUGCGUGCUCUGCCAUCAGGCAAUCUGUGAUCCUGCUCCAUUCUAGCUCUGCCAUGUGUUAGUGCUUUGAUCUUAGACAAACUAACAGCUCCAAAACCUCAAUUUCUUUGUCCAUAAAAUUAUUACUACCUCGGCCAGGCACGGUGACUCAUGCCUGUAAUCCCAGCACUUUGGGAGGCCGAGGCGGGUGGAUCACUUGAGGUCAGGAGUACCAGACCAGCCUGCCCAACAUCGUGAAACCCCGUCUCUACUAAAAUACAAAAAUUAGCUGGACGUGAUGGUGGUCGCCUGUAAUCCCAGCUAGUCAGGAGGCUGAGGCAGGAGAAUCACUUGAACCCGGGAGGCAGAGGUUGCAGUGAGCCAAGAUCGUGCCAUUGCAUUCCAGCCUGGGCAGCAGAGCAAGACUCCAUCUCAGAAAAAAAAAAAAAUAUAUAUAUAUAUAUAUACACACACACACACACACAUAUGCACAUCAAUAUGUAUAUAUAUACAUAUGUGUAUAUAUAUACAUAUACGUAUAUGUAUAUAUGUAUAUAUAUAUACAUAUACAUAUGUAUAUAUGUAUAUAUGUAUAUAUAUAUACAUAUACGUAUAUGUAUAUAUACACGUAUAUAUAUAUAAAUAUACACACACACAUAUAUAUAUAUAUAUAUAUAACCUUAUUUUGGGUUUGUUGAAAGGAUGAAAAUGGCAUCAUGCAUGGAAGGUUAUUUAGCCCAGUACCUAGCACAAAGAUCUGAAUUGUGCCUCGUUUUAGGAUUAGCAAAACGUGAUUGGCAAAAUCAGAGUCUAUGGCAAACACCCAGUUGGGUGAGUGAGUCACAGGAAUAGGUGCUUAAUGUUUGUUGGCUUAACAACUUGCAAGCUCUAACAUAAUCUCCGUCCUCUGCUAACAUUAUCUGAUAGCUCAGAUGCUGAAACAUUUCAUUCUUCUUUAAACUCCGUGGCGUUUAUGCGCGUGAGCCGCCACACCUGGGCUGACUCUUUUUUGUAAUUCUUUCACAGAUGUUCCAUCUGUCUAACUAGUUUUCAAGUUCCUUGAGGACAAGGAUAAUGAUAUUAUUACAGCUGACAUUUCUUGAAUGUGGACUAUGAGCUAGCAUUUUCAAUUUAUAAACUCGCUUAACCCGCACCACAGCCUGAUGAGGGAGCUUGCUGUCGUCAUCCCUGAGUUAUGAAUCAGGAAGCAGAGGCCCAGGUUGCCAGCGUGUUACCCGAGGGCACAAGGUUAGCGAGCAGCAGCACUGAAGCACUGCAGCCCAGCCCAGCAGCAAGGUGUGUUGCCGUGUACUGCUUCCUAGGGUGCGGGACUGCACGCCCUCAGGUGAGUAGGAGAGAACUUACUCACUGAUUCCCUGACUGAUAGAAACCCUUACCUUUUGCAGCUACACCUGCUUUUCUAGCAGACGCCUGGGCUCCUGGACAUAUUGCUCUGAGGCUAUUUGACAGCACUCCUGCCAUCCUCCCGGCCCCCUAAGAUAAAACUUUCUUUAAAGAGCGUCCUAAAAACCAGAUUUACACACAAAAGCCAGGAUGACUCCUAGCAGAUGUUUUGCUACCUGAAGGUUGUUAUGUCAUGUAGAAAAUAAAGGAGGAAAGAAAGAAAAGGAGGAGGGGAGAGGGCAUGUGGGAGAAGGGGUGAGGACAGUGAACAGACCAGGGAGUACCAGAAAGACCAGCUCUUCCCAAACAGCUUCUGCCAUGAUGCUUGCUUCAUGCUAAAUGACCCACAAACUUCAUUCAUGUGUGGGUUUGCCCUUGUGCCUUCUUGGUCCCCCAAGCAGGGACAGAGUUCUGCUCGGAGAAGCUGGAAUGAACCGAAAGCCAGGGAAGGAGCUGGUGGAAACCCAAGCAGGCCUCCCUCAAGUGGCAUGAUCUCAGGAAAUGGAAAUAUUGUACAAAGAAGCAAGAUGCCUGGCGCCAACUUCCAUGCUGUGCUGAAUGACAGAUCCAAGAUGGUUGGCCAGAAUGCUCCACCCUGCAAUGGCAGACUAAACAGUGUUUUCAGUGCAGAUGGAACGUUCAUCAUAUGCUGGGCCAUGAAACUAGUCUCAAUAAAUCCAGCAGGAUUGAAAUCACAUACUGGGCUUCUCCAACAAAAUGCAAUUUAAUUAGAAAUCAGUAACUGAAACUGGAACUCUUCUACACUGCUGGUUUUGGUAUCAGGAUGACGCUGGCCUCAUAAAAUGAGUUGGAGAGGAGACCCUCCCCUCAAUUUUUGGAAUAGUUUCAGUAGGAAUGCUACCAGCUCUUCUUUAUACAUCUGGUAGAAUUCAGCUGUGAAUCCAUCUGGUCCUGGGCUUUUCUUGGUUGGUAGGCUUUUUAUUACUGCUUCAAUUUGAGAACUCAUUAUUAGUCUGUUCAGGGAUGCAAUUUCUUCCUAGUUCAAUCUUGGGAGGUGGUAUGUGUCCAGGAAUUUAUCCAUUUCUUCUAGAUUUUCUAGUUUGUGCGCAUAGGGUUUUUAUAUUUCUGUGUAGAUGGUGGUAAUUUCAUCUUUCUCAUUUCUAAUUGUGUAUAUUUGGUUCUUCUCUCUUUUUUCUUUUUUCUUCUUUUUUUUUUUUUCUGACAGAGUCUCACCCUGAGGCCCAGGCUGGAGUGCUGUGACGUGAUCUUGGCUCACUGCAACCUCUGCCUCCCGGAUUCAAGCAAUUCUCCUGCCUCAA
Long non-coding RNA from Gorilla gorilla gorilla (western lowland gorilla), 13630 nucleotides. RefSeq lists it as uncharacterized. The record is from RefSeq and is a predicted model, not a curated record. The transcript has 4 exons. NCBI's taxonomy places the organism in Eukaryota, Metazoa, Chordata, Mammalia, Primates, Hominidae.